This 192-nucleotide microRNA precursor is filed under the name Malus domestica (apple). RNAcentral's name for it is "miR168b stem-loop (mdm-MIR168b)". Its record names the gene mdm-MIR168b. The record is from miRBase by way of RNAcentral. Lineage: Eukaryota; Viridiplantae; Streptophyta; Magnoliopsida; Rosales; Rosaceae.
GUAGGAGGCGUAGGGCACGAUGAUUCAUUUCCUGGCGGUCUCUAAUUCGCUUGGUGCAGGUCGGGAACCGCUUCGYCCCGUUUGAGCCUAUAAACCAGCUGGCUCGAGGCUGCGGGGCGAAACGGRUCCCGCCUUGCAUCAACUGAAUCGGAGACCGCGGUGAAGGCGGUUUCAUGGAUCUUGCGUUCCUGC